Long non-coding RNA from Poeciliopsis prolifica (blackstripe livebearer), 317 nucleotides. RefSeq lists it as uncharacterized. The transcript is spliced from 3 exons. Lineage: Eukaryota; Metazoa; Chordata; Actinopteri; Cyprinodontiformes; Poeciliidae. The record is from RefSeq and is a predicted model, not a curated record.
AUUUGGGCCCACAGCAUGACUCCACCUCCUCCUUGCUGACAUCACAGCAGUGUUGGGACAUGAUGUCCGUCCAGCACCGUCCACGACUGCGUCCAUCUGGACCAUCCAGGGCUGGACAGCCGUCAUCAGUGAACAAGUCUGAAAAUGAAUCUUCAUACCCAGCUGGGCCCAAUGCCACUGGGUCUGCUUGUGAGCAGCUUGGGGGCCAAAUAGCAAGUUAGGGGUCCAGUAGCAGGUUGGGGGCCCAGUAGCAGGUUGGGGCCCCAGUAGCAGGUUGGGGGCCUAGUAGCAGAUUAGGGGCCAGUAGCAGGUUGGGG